GCACCGCUGUGGAGUCCCAGAACAGGACGGAACAGCCGUCCAGUGC
Molecule: non-coding RNA, 46 nt
Filed under: Schistosoma margrebowiei
Lineage: Eukaryota; Metazoa; Platyhelminthes; Trematoda; Strigeidida; Schistosomatidae
Source: RNAcentral